UACGUAGGGUGCGAGCGUUGUCCGGAAUUACUGGGCGUAAAGAGCUCGUAGGUGGUUUGUCGCGUUGUUCGUGAAAACUCACAACUCAAUUGUGGGCGUGCGGGCGAUACGGGCAGACUGGAGUACUGCAGGGGAGACUGGAAUUCCUGGUGUAGCGGUGGAAUGCGCAGAUAUCAGGAGGAACACCGGUGGCGAAGGCGGGUCUCUGGGCAGUAACUGACGCUGAGGCGCGAAAGCUAGGGGAGCAAACGGG
This 253-nucleotide ribosomal RNA is filed under the name uncultured bacterium. Its description in RNAcentral is "partial 16S ribosomal RNA". It matches the Rfam family "Bacterial small subunit ribosomal RNA", at positions 524 to 776 of the family's 1533-position model. The record is from RNAcentral.